RNAcentral lists this ribosomal RNA (460 nucleotides) under uncultured bacterium. RNAcentral describes it as "partial 16S ribosomal RNA". It matches the Rfam family "Bacterial small subunit ribosomal RNA", at positions 338 to 795 of the family's 1533-position model. The record is from RNAcentral.
CCUACGAGAGGCAGCAGUGAGGAAUAUUGGUCAAUGGACGAGAGUCUGAACCAGCCAAGUAGCGUGAAGGAUGACUGCCCUCUGGUUUGUAAACUUCUUUUAUAUGGGAAUAAAAUGUUCCACGUGUGGGAUUUGUUAUGUACCAUAUGAAUAAGGAUAGGCUAACUCCGUGCCAUCAGCCGCGGUAAUACGGAGGGUCCGUGCGUUAUCCGGAUUUGUUGGGUUUAUAGGGAGAGUAGGUGGAUUGUUAAGUCAGUUGUGAAAGUUUGCGGCUCAACCGUAACAGUGCAGUUGAAACUUGCAGUCUUGAGGAAAGUAGAGGUGGGCGGAAUUCGUGGUGGAGCGGUGAAAUGCUUAGAUAUCACGAAGAAUUCCGAUUGCGAAGGCAGCUCACUGGACUGCAACUGACACUGAGGCUCGAAAGUGUGGGUAGCAAACAGGAUUAGAUACCCGAGUAGUC